Molecule: ribosomal RNA, 435 nt
Filed under: Tromatobia notator
Lineage: Eukaryota; Metazoa; Arthropoda; Insecta; Hymenoptera; Ichneumonidae
Description: partial 16S ribosomal RNA
Source: RNAcentral
GUCUUUAAGAAUAUAAUUUAAAGUCAAAUCUGCUCAAUGAUUAAAAAUUAAAUAGCUGCGGUAUAUUGACCGUACAAAGGUAGCAUAAUCAAUAGUUUUUUAAUUGAAAGCUGGAAUGAAUGAUUAAAUGAAAUAUAAACUGUCUCAAAUUUAAUAAAUAAAUUUUUUUUAUUAAUUAAAAAAUUAAUAUGAAUUUAUAAGACGAGAAGACCCUAUAGAUUUUUAUUAAUAAUAAUUAUAAAUUAAAAUUUAUUAAAUUAUUAAAUAUAGUUAAAUUAAUUUGAUUGGGGAGAUUAAAAAAUAAAAAAAACUUUUAUAACUUUAAAGACAAAAAUAAUUGAAUAAUUGAUCUUAAAUUUUAGAUAAAAAGAAUAAAUUACCUUAGGGAUAACAGCGUAAUUUUAUUGGAGAGAUCAUAUUGAUAAUAAAGAUUGC